UACGAAGGGGGCUAGCGUUGCUCGGAAUCACUGGGCGUAAAGGGUGCGUAGGCGGGUCUCUAAGUCAGGGGUGAAAUCCUGGAGCUCAACUCCAGAACUGCCUUUGAUACUGAAGAUCUUGAGUUCGGGAGAGGUGAGUGGAACUGCGAGUGUAGAGGUGAAAUUCGUAGAUAUUCGCAAGAACACCGGUGGCGAAGGCGGCUCACUGGCUCAUAUCUGACGCUCAGGCGCGACAGCGUGGGGAUCAAACAGG
This 253-nucleotide ribosomal RNA is filed under the name uncultured bacterium. RNAcentral describes it as "partial 16S ribosomal RNA". It matches the Rfam family "Bacterial small subunit ribosomal RNA", at positions 524 to 776 of the family's 1533-position model. The record is from RNAcentral.